This 497-nucleotide ribosomal RNA is filed under the name uncultured bacterium. RNAcentral describes it as "partial 16S ribosomal RNA". It matches the Rfam family "Bacterial small subunit ribosomal RNA", at positions 28 to 507 of the family's 1533-position model. The record is from RNAcentral.
GAUGAACGCUGGCGGCGUGCCUAAUACAUGCAAGUCGAGCGAACAGACGAGGAGCUUGCUCCUCUGACGAUAGCGGCGGACGGGUGAGUAACACGUGGAUAACCUACCUAUAAGACUGGGAUAACUUCGGGAAACCGGAGCUCAUACCGGAUAAUAUAUUGAACCGCAUGGUUCAAUAGUGAAAGACGGUUUUGCUGGCACUUAUAGAUGGUUCCGCGCGGCAUUAGCUAGUUGGUAAGGUAACGGCUUACCAAGGCAACGAGGCGUAGCCGACCUGAGAGGGUGUUCGGCCGCACUGGAACUGAUACACGUUCCAGACUCCUACGGUAGGGAGCAGUAGGGAACCUUCCGCAAUGGCCGGAAACCUGGCAGAGCAACGCGGCGUGGGUGAUGAAGGUCUUGGGAUCGUAAAACUCUGUUAUUAGGGAAGAACAAAUGUGUAAGUAACUAUGCACGUCUUGACGGUACCUAAUCAGAAAGCCCCGGCUAACUACGUG